UCGUCAGCUGAUCCUCCAGUGAACUGAGAAGGUUUAUAGUCCUGUGAGUUCAGCGCUGCAGGACUCAGACCCGUCACGUCGACACAGCAGAAACCACAAACCACCAUGACUCUCAUCGUCACCAUCCUCAUCUGGACGCUGGCCUGCUGCAGCUUCACAGGAUGCAGCGGCCAGGUGACUGUGACUCAGCCUCCAGAAGUGACAUCUACUCCAGGAUCCACUGUCACUCUGACCUGUAAAACCAGCUCUGCUGUUGCAACGUGUGGUGGUGGUGCUCCGUGUAUGUACUGGUACCAACAGAAACCUGGACAGACCCCAAAGCUCCUAAUAAGAAAAGGGAGCACAAGACAUUCGGGAACACCAGCUCGGUUCAGUGGCAGCGGAAGCAGCUCUGACUUCUCUCUGACCAUCGGUGGAGUUCAGACUGAAGAUGCAGCAGUUUACUACUGCCAGAGUGUCCAUGUAAUAAACGGAGCAGAUGUGUACACUUUCGGUGGAGGAACCAAACUCAUCCUUGACUCGGGUGUGGUGCGGCCCACCCUGACCGUCCUCCCCCCCUCCAGUGAAGAGCUGAAGAAGGACAGUGUCACACUGGUGUGUCUGGCCAGCGGGGGCUUCCCCUCAGCCUGGAGCCUGGCCUGGAAGGUGGGGGGCAGCAGCAGCUCCUCAGGGGUGUCACGCAGCCUGGCCCUCCUGGGGAGCGGCGGCCACUACAGCUGGAGCAGCACCCUGAGCCUCCCUGCAGACCAGUGGAGGAAGGCGGGCUCAGUGAGCUGUGAGGCCAGUCUGACUGGACAGAGCCCUGUCACUCAAACCCUGGACCCUGACCGCUGCUCAGAGUAGAGCUCCAUCAACACUUCCUGUGUGAUAUGAUAUUCAUCCUUUGAUAGAAAUCAUGGUGAAGCUACAGAUCUCCUCUUAUCAGAUAUAGUCUGCAGGUUUUUACAACUUUCUUCUGUGUAUUAGUGUCUAUGUUGUUUUCACAAAUCUGAUCAUCUGCAUAUUCUGCUUCAUGUUCUUAUUAGUUUUCAUUCCAUUAAAAACUUUUUAUUCAUUAAAAAUAUGACGCCAACAUUCAAUCAUCAUUCAAUAAAACGUUUUGUUAUAAUAAAUCAAA
Non-coding RNA from Scophthalmus maximus (turbot), 1117 nucleotides. The record is from the annotation of a RefSeq genome assembly. NCBI's taxonomy places the organism in Eukaryota, Metazoa, Chordata, Actinopteri, Pleuronectiformes, Scophthalmidae.